UACGUAGGGGGCUAGCGUUGUCCGGAAUCAUUGGGCGUAAAGCGCGUGUAGGCGGUUCGGUAAGUCCGCUGUGAAAGUCGGGGGCUCAACCCUCGAAUGCCGAUGGAUACUGUCGGACUAGAGUACGGAAGAGGCGAGUGGAAUUCCUGGUGUAGCGGUGAAAUGCGCAGAUAUCAGGAGGAACACCGGUGGCGAAGGCGGGUCUCUGGGCCGAUAUUGACGCUGAGGAGCGAAAGCGUGGGGGAGCGAACGGG
This 254-nucleotide ribosomal RNA is filed under the name uncultured bacterium. RNAcentral describes it as "partial 16S ribosomal RNA". It matches the Rfam family "Bacterial small subunit ribosomal RNA", at positions 524 to 776 of the family's 1533-position model. The record is from RNAcentral.